This 210-nucleotide non-coding RNA is filed under the name Lachnospiraceae bacterium. RNAcentral describes it as "6S RNA". It matches the Rfam family "6S / SsrS RNA". From Rfam's summary of the family: E. coli 6S RNA was the first non coding RNA to be sequenced, but its function was unknown until recently. It consists of 184 nucleotides that fold into an extended hairpin structure with a large single-stranded internal bulge. Lineage: Bacteria; Bacillati; Bacillota; Clostridia; Lachnospirales; Lachnospiraceae. The record is from RNAcentral.
AUGUAUCUGGACGGUACGGCAGCCUUCGCUAUAAUUGAACCUACAGAUACUUUAAAAGGGACGCUUAUGCUUGGCUUUAUCAAUGUCAGGCCUCCAUCCGGGCUUGCCCGGACGCUUACGCGAGAGAGGAAGACAGCGCAUAAAGCGGCGGCAACCCACCUAGCCAAGCUAGGAGUCAAUCGGCGUAGGCACCGGCCGGCCGGAUCUUAA